AACGCACAUUGCGCCCUCUGGUAUUCCGGGGGGCAUGCCUGUUCGAGCGUCAUUACAACCCUCAAGCUCUGCUUGGUAUUGGGCAUCACUAUUCUGUAGUGUGUCUUAAAAUCAGUGGCGGUGCCAUCUGGCUUCAAGCGUAGUAAUUCUUCUCGCUUCUGGAGCCUGGUGAACACUUGCCAGCAACCCCAAUUUUCUCAGGUUGACCUCGGAUCAGGUAGGGAUACCCGCUGAACUUAA
Molecule: unclassified non-coding RNA, 240 nt
Filed under: uncultured fungus
Lineage: Eukaryota; Fungi
Description: sequence contains ITS2
Rfam family: 5.8S ribosomal RNA (bases 1-52)
Source: RNAcentral